CCUCCCCUCCCCCGGAGCGGCGCUGGGCUCAGCCCGAGACCGUGAGGGGAAAAGCGGGGCCGUGCGGCGGCCGGGCCCAUCGCCGCGCCCGCUGCCCCGCCAGCCGCCGAGAGGCCGCGGGAGUAAACCGGCCCCUGCCAGCGGGGCUCCGCCGCUGCUCCCCCCCCCCCCCCAGCCCCGGGCCUCCUCCCGCAGCCCGGCGGCGCCUCCUCGCCUCCAGAUAGCGGGACCGGGCUGCCCGCGCCCGGCGGCGGGAGGAAAAUGGCCCAAGCUACUGCACCAGUAACAUCCAUCCAUGAUGAAGACUCCUCUGAAAGCAGAAUGGUGGUUACAUUCCUCAUGUCAGCACUUGAGUCAAUGUGUAAAGAACUUGCCAAGUCCAAGGCAGAAGUUGCCUGUGUUGCUGUAUAUGAAACAGAUGUGUUUGUAGUUGGAACUGAGAGAGGAAGAGCCUUUGUCAAUUCUAGGAAAGAUUUUCAGAAGGAUUUUGUUAAAUACUGUGUUACAGAAGAGGAGAGGGCUGCAGAACUGCAGAAAACAAAAAGUAUACCACCUGUAAACAGACUGACAGUGGAUAUUGUGGAACUGGAAGCUCUCAGAAAGUCUGUGGAGGACUUUUUCUGCUUUUGCUAUGGUAAAGCUUUAGGAAAGUCAACAGUGGUGCCUGUGCCAUAUGAGAAGAUUCAGAGGGACCAGUCUGCUGUGGUAGUGCAGGGCCUGCCCGAAGGACUUGCAUUUAAACAUCCAGCAAAUUACGAUGUUUCAACCCUGAAGUGGAUUUUGGAAAACAAGUCAGGGAUCUCAUUUACCAUCAAAAGGCCUUUCCUAGAGCCAAAGAAACACCUAGGGGCUCAUAUGACAGAUCCUUCACAUUCAAUUAUACCUCCAGGUGGAAGUUGUCCUCCUAUUCAAGUGAAAACGGAACCGAACGAGGAUUCUGGAGUUGCUUUGGAAAUGGCAACAGUAACAGUGAAGGAGGAAUCAGAUGAUCCUGACUAUUAUCAAUAUAAUAUUCCAGCAGGCCCUUCCGAAACAUCAGAGAUGGAUGAAAAAAUUGCUCUUGCAAAAAGUUACACAGCUGUGUGUGAGGUGAAUGGCUAUAUACAGAACAAAGUAUAUGAUUCUUCCCAGCAUGCCCCUUCAGAAACAAGUGAGGAUCCUGAGGUCGAGGUCACCAUCGAAGAUGAUGACGACUACUUGCCCCCUAACAAGAGACCGAAGAAUACCGAGUCAGCUAAUGAAGCUGCCAAUACUGGGAGAAGAAAAGUGAGAGAGUUCAAUUUUGAGAAAUGGAAUGCACGAAUUACAGACUUGAGAAAGCAAGUUGAAGAGCUGUUUGAAAAAAAAUACGCUCAAGCUAUAAAAGCAAAAGGUCCAGUGUCUAUCCCAUACCCACUCUUCCAGUCACAUGUGGAAGACUUAUAUGUGGAAGGGCUGCCAGAAGGAAUUCCCUUCAGGCGGCCAUCCACAUAUGGCAUUCCCCGUCUUGAGAGGAUACUUCUAGCAAAGGAGCGGAUCCGGUUUGUGAUUAAAAAGCAUGAGCUUUUGAAUUCAACAAGAGAAGAUGUGCCACUGGACAAACCAGUUGCAGGAGUGAAAGAGGAGUGGUAUGCCAGAAUCACCAAACUGAGGAAGAUGGUAGAUCAACUCUUCUGUAAAAAGUUUGCUGAGGCCUUGGGGAGCACUGAACCAAAAGCUGUUCCAUACCAGAAAUUUGAGGCCCAUCCUACUGACCUCUAUGUUGAAGGGCUGCCAGAGAACAUCCCUUUUAGGAGUCCCUCCUGGUACGGAAUCCCUCGCCUUGAAAAAAUAAUUCAAGUGGGCAACAGAAUAAAAUUUGUGAUCAGAAGGCCAGAGCUGCUAACUCUCACUUCAACCGAAGUUAUUCAGCCCAGGUCGAACACCCCAGUGAAAGAAGAUUGGAAUGUCAGGAUCACAAAGCUAAGAAAGCAAGUAGAAGAGAUAUUUAAUAUGAAGUUUGCCCAAGCUCUGGGGCUUUCAGAGGCAGUGAAAGUUCCGUAUCCUGUAUUUGAAUCAAACCCUGAGUACCUGUACGUUGAAGGCUUGCCAGAAGGAAUCCCCUUCCGGAGUCCCACGUGGUUUGGAAUUCCACGCCUUGAAAGAAUUGUCCGUGGAAGUGGCAAAAUCAAAUUUGUUGUUAAAAAGCCUGAGCUUGUCACUUCCUAUUUGCCUCCAGCACUGGCUAGUAAAAUAAACACUAAAGCAAUGAGUCCAAAGAGUUCAAAAAGGUCACGAAGUCCUGCAGGCAAUUCAAAGGUCCCAGAAAUUGAAGUUACUGUUGAAGAAGGUCCUAAUAAACCACAAACAACAGAUGUUCGAACUAAUUCUCAAACCAAUGGGUCCAAUAUGAGUUUCAAGCCACGAGGAAGAGAGUUUUCUUUUGAGGCGUGGAAUGCCAAAAUUACUGACUUAAAGCAGAAAGUCGAAAAUCUUUUUAAUGAAAAAUGUGGGGAAGCGCUAGGGCUGACUGAACCAGUGAAGGUGCCAUUUGCAUUGUUUGAAUCCUUCCCGGAGGUGUUCUAUGUGGAAGGACUACCCGAGGGGGUGCCAUUCCGCCGACCUUCUACUUUUGGAAUUCCAAGACUAGAGAAGAUCCUGAGAAACAAAUCUAAGAUAAAAUUCAUUAUUAAAAAGCCUGAGAUGUUUGAAGCAGCUGUUAAGGAAAAUUCUGCUAGAAGCCCCCAAAGAAAAAAUAAUUCAUCUAAUAUAGCCAAUACAGCAAGCACCACAACAAACACACUGGUGAACACAGCUGCAGGUGUUGAAGAUCUUAACAUCAUUCAAGUAACUAUACCUGAUGAUGAAAGUGAGCGACUGUCAAAAGUAGAAAAGGCCAGACAAUUGAGAGAGCAAGUAAAUGAUCUUUUUAGCCGGAAAUUUGGUGAAGCCAUUGGUAUGAAUUUUCCUGUGAAAGUCCCAUACAGAAAAAUCACUAUCAACCCUGGCUGCGUGGUGGUGGAUGGGAUGCCUCCUGGCGUGGCAUUUAAAGCUCCCAGUUAUCUGGAAAUCAGCUCGAUGAGGAAGAUUUUGGAAUCAGCAGAGUUUAUCAAAUUUACUGUCAUUCGACCAUUUCCAGGACUUGUGAUUAACAAUCUUUCAGGAUUUGCAGAUUCAAGAAGUAAGAUUGCCCUUGUGUUACAUGUGGACCAUUUUCAUUGUGAAGUUAAACAGUGAUCAUGUCUAAUCUUAGAGCUGAUGGAAAAAGCUGAAGCAGAAGCACCACCAACAGCACCAGCAGCAGCACCAGUACUACCAGCUGAACCAAGCAAAAUAGAAGUAUCUGUAGGAGAUAUUACAGAAAAAGAAGAAAAUUCUCAAAUAAAGCAAGAACCAGACCCAACGUGGUAGACCUCUUCAAUACUGGUCAGAAGCAUCCAGUUCUGAGAAGAGCCUGCUGGGACUGUCUUGAGCUGUGUAAUAUAACUGUAUAAGAGAAGUACCUUCUAUACAAACCCUUUUUGUACUUUUAGAUAGAAAUGUCUACUUUUUCAGCAGUUCUGUGAAUUGACUUAAAGCAAAGAAUGACUGUAGAUUUGGAAUGGCUGGUUUUACUUUGGAAUAUAUUAUAAGGACUAAAAUUUGAUGCAGCAAUGCUGGGGAGAUGACAGGGAUUAAAAUCAACAGGGACUUAACAGAGGCUGUCUACAUUUCCCAAUGAAGCUGAAUUUCACCGUACCUGAAUACAUCUCAGCUUUUGUAAUGAAGAAGAAUUCCUGCAAGUAGUUCAGUUUGUUAGUUUUACUUUGGGGGAGAAAAAAAAACAAAAACAUUGCUUUUUGGUUCUUACUCCUUUAAUGGCUGAUUGGACAAUAGUAUCUGUAUAUUUGAACUAAUUUUUCCUAUGAUAUCUAUCACAAUUCAUACGUUUUUCAUAAAUAAAAGAUGAACUGGUUCACUUGACCGUUAGUACGCAUUAAUGAGAUGGACUGUGAAAUGGUCAGUAUUUCAGUGUGUGGAUUAGGAACCAAUUUAAAUUAAACCCUGUUAUAGUUUGUUCCAUUAAUUCAAAGUAGUAAGUGCAUGCUUUAUCAGAAUAUCACAUGGUUUAUGUAUGAUGGGUCUGGCCUUGCAGUCCUAACGUAGGCAAAACUUGCAUGGACCUGAGUGAGAGCUUUUCUCCUGAAGGCUGUGGGGGAUGCCCUUCUGUUCAUCUAGAACUAGUUAUGGAAACAUACGCUACAAGCUGCUGUAAGUCCUACUAUGUCAAAAGUUAAGUCCCCUAUAGUCCUGGUUACGCCCCACAUCAUGUAAGAGACUCGUGCACAUUUUUUUUAAGUUUCACAAACCAUAAGAGAUGUAAAGUUCUGGGUAUAUGAUAAUCUCUAUAGAGAAGAUGCAGAUUAUUGUAAAGGUUUCUCUUUUAUUGGCAUGGGUUUGGGAUGACUGCAUUAUGCACAAAUGGUAAACCUUAUUCCCUGAUUAAGAAAUAAAGACCUUCUGAUGGUUUUCAUGACU
RNA transcript from Harpia harpyja (harpy eagle), 4476 nucleotides. It is a transcript of the gene named general transcription factor IIi, with no coding region annotated. The transcript has 35 exons. Lineage: Eukaryota; Metazoa; Chordata; Aves; Accipitriformes; Accipitridae. The record is from RefSeq and is a predicted model, not a curated record.